This 433-nucleotide ribosomal RNA is filed under the name uncultured bacterium. Its description in RNAcentral is "partial 16S ribosomal RNA". It matches the Rfam family "Bacterial small subunit ribosomal RNA", at positions 29 to 507 of the family's 1533-position model. The record is from RNAcentral.
AACGAACGCUGGCGGCAUGCCUAACACAUGCAAGUCGAACGAGACCUUCGGGUCUAGUGGCGCACGGGUGCGUAACGCGUGGGAACCUGCCCUUAGGUUCGGAAUAACUCCCCGAAAGGGGUGCUAAUACCGGACAAUGUCUUCGGACCAAAGAUUUAUCGCCUUUGGAUGGGCCCGCGUUGGAUUAGCUAGUUGGUAGGGUAAAAGCCUACCAAGGCGACGAUCCAUAGCUGGUCUGAGAGAAUGAUCAGCCACACUGGGACUGAGACACGGCCCAGACUCCUACGGGAGGAAGCAGUGGGGAAUAUUGGACAAUGGGCGAAAGCCUGAUCCAGCAAUGCCGCGUGAGUGAUGAAGGACUUAGGGUUGUAAAGCUCUUUUACCCGGGAUGAUAAUGACAGUACCGGGAGAAUAAGCGCCGGCUAACUCCGUG